AACCCAAGAGAGGCAUUUAUAUUUAUUUCUUUUGCGUUCAUUUUCAAAUUCGCCGUGCAUAUAUUUUUGUGCAUGGCGCUUGAGAGGGCAUCACGUGACUAAAAACGACCAACCAACGACCUCGCUUCGGCCAUCUUGGCCACCUUGCUUUGCCGUGGGUGGAUCGUUGUUAUUUGUGCUUUUUAAGAAUAUUUUUUUAAUUCGGAUACUUUUAUAAUAGCUUUAAUAGUAUUAUUAACAUAGUGAAUAAAAUGGUGUCCUGUUUUUAACGCAGUUGGAUUAGCAGAAACAAAUAAUGUAGAUAAAAAAAUCUGCAGGAAUAACGUUUCAAUUAUGACAGAAGCUCCAAACAAAUGACUGUGAAUGAAAAGCCCUAUUAAAAGCUUUCCAGAAGAUCCUGCGAAGAAGACAUGAAGUAUAGAUCAGAUUUGUUAAUAGAGGAGUAUGUUCAAAACACUUUUUAGAAAAAGAUAUUGACAGAACUUCACUUUCAUCUGUUCGUUUAAGAGACUGUGCUGUUCCAAUAGCUUAUGUCACACAGAAUCAGCUGAGAGAAGUGGUCUACAAAAAACCAGAAAGGAAACGGAAUAUGUGGCUACGAAAAGCAAAAGAAAGGUUUACAAAGCAAAUGUGACACAUUUUUUUAUAAUAUUUAGGAAUGUCAGUAAAUUACAUUAAAAAAUGUAUGUAAAGAUUUUUUGCAAUAAAAAUGUUUAUAUUUA
Molecule: long non-coding RNA, 722 nt
Filed under: Diabrotica virgifera virgifera (western corn rootworm)
Lineage: Eukaryota; Metazoa; Arthropoda; Insecta; Coleoptera; Chrysomelidae
Description: uncharacterized LOC126886539
Source: RNAcentral